GGGAGCGUAGUUCAGUGGCAGAACGCUAGUUUUGCAAGCUAGAUGCCGUUGGUUCGAUUCCAACCGCUUCCA
Molecule: transfer RNA, 72 nt
Filed under: Marsupiomonas sp. NIES 1824
Lineage: Eukaryota; Viridiplantae; Chlorophyta; Pedinophyceae; Marsupiomonadales; Marsupiomonadaceae
Description: tRNA-Ala
Rfam family: tRNA
About the family: Transfer RNA (tRNA) molecules are approximately 80 nucleotides in length. Their secondary structure includes four short double-helical elements and three loops (D, anti-codon, and T loops).
Source: RNAcentral